This 492-nucleotide ribosomal RNA is filed under the name uncultured bacterium. RNAcentral's name for it is "partial 16S ribosomal RNA". It matches the Rfam family "Bacterial small subunit ribosomal RNA", at positions 29 to 507 of the family's 1533-position model. The record is from RNAcentral.
AGUGAACGCUGGCGGUAGGCCUAACACAUGCAAGUCGAACGGCAGCACAGUAAGAGCUUGCUCUUACGGGUGGCGAGUGGCGGACGGGUGAGGAAUACAUCGGAAUCUACUUUUUCGUGGGGGAUAACGUAGGGAAACUUACGCUAAUACCGCAUACGACCUACGGGUGAAAGCAGGGGAUCUUCGGACCUUGCGCGAUUGAAUGAGCCGAUGUCGGAUUAGCUAGUUGGCGGGGUAAAGGCCCACCAAGGCGACGAUCCGUAGCUGGUCUGAGAGGAUGAUCAGCCACACUGGAACGGAGACACGGUCCAGACGCCUAAGGGAGGCAGCAGUGGGGAAUAUUGGACAAUGGGCGCAAGCCUGAUCCAGCCAUACCGCGUGGGUGAAGAAGGCCUUCGGGUUGUAAAGCCCUUUUGUUGGGAAAGAAAAGCAGCAGGUUAAUACCCCGCUGUUCUGACGGUACCCAAAGAAUAAGCACCGGCUAACUUCGUG